UGCAAGUCGAGCGAAGAGAUGGGAGCUUGCUCCCUGAUCUUAGCGGCGGACGGGUGAGUAACACGUGGGCAACCUGCCCUGCAGACUGGGAUAACUCCGGGAAACCGGAGCUAAUACCGGGUAAUACAUCGCACCGCAUGGUGCAAUGUUGAAAGUUGGCCUUUGGCUAACACUGCAGGAUGGGCCCGCGGCGCAUUAGCUAGUUGGUAAGGUAACGGCUUACCAAGGCGACGAUGCGUAGCCGACCUGAGAGGGUGAUCGGCCACACUGGGACUGAGACACGGCCCAGACUCCUACGGGAGGCAGCAGUAGGGAAUCUUCCGCAAUGGACGAAAGUCUGACGGAGCAACGCCGCGUGAGUGACGAAGGCCUUCGGGUCGUAAAGCUCUGUUGUUAGGGAAGAACAAGUACCGUUCGAAUAGGGCGGUACCUUGACGGUACCUAACCAGAAAGCCACGGCUAACUACGUGCCAGCAGCCGCGGUAAUACGUAGGUGGCAAGCGUUGUCCGGAAUUAUUGGGCGUAAAGCGCGCGCAGGCGGUCUUUUAAGUCUGAUGUGAAAGCCCACGGCUCAACCGUGGAGGGUCAUUGGAAACUGGAGGACUUGAGUGCAGAAGAGGAGAGUGGAAUUCCACGUGUAGCGGUGAAAUGCGUAGAUAUGUGGAGGAACACCAGUGGCGAAGGCGGCUCUCUGGUCUGUAACUGACGCUGAGGCGCG
This 718-nucleotide ribosomal RNA is filed under the name Guptibacillus hwajinpoensis. RNAcentral's name for it is "bacterial SSU rRNA". It matches the Rfam family "Bacterial small subunit ribosomal RNA", at positions 56 to 755 of the family's 1533-position model. Lineage: Bacteria; Bacillati; Bacillota; Bacilli; Caryophanales; Guptibacillaceae. The record is from RNAcentral.